This 526-nucleotide ribosomal RNA is filed under the name uncultured microorganism. RNAcentral's name for it is "bacterial SSU rRNA". It matches the Rfam family "Bacterial small subunit ribosomal RNA", at positions 9 to 517 of the family's 1533-position model. The record is from RNAcentral.
GAGUUUGAUCGUGGCUCAGGAUGAACGCUGGCGGCGUGCCUAAUACAUGCAAGUCGAGCGAACAGACGAGGAGCUUGCUCCUCUGACGUUAGCGGCGGACGGGUGAGUAACACGUGGAUAACCUACCUAUAAGACUGGGAUAACUUCGGGAAACCGGAGCUAAUACCGAAUAAUAUAUUGAACCGCAUGGUUCAAUAGUGAAAAACGGUUUUGCUGUCACUUAUAGAUGGAUCCGCGCCGCAUUAGCUAGUUGGUAGGGUAACGGCUUACCAAGGCGACGAUGCGUAGCCGACCUGAGAGGGUGAUCGGCCACACUGGAACUGAGACACGGUCCAGACUCCUACGGGAGGCAGCAGUAGGGAAUCUUCCGCAAUGGGCGAAAGCCUGACGGAGCAACGCCGCGUGAGUGAUGAAGGUCUUCGGAUCGUAAAACUCUGUUAUUAGGGAAGAACAAAUGUGUAAGUAACUAUGCACGUCUUGACGGUACCUAAUCAGAAAGCCACGGCUAACUACGUGCCAGCCGCCG